AUCAUCUUUCUUCCUUCUCCAUUCUGUUGCCAUUCAUCUUCAAGAAGCAAAGGAAUCCAUUGAUGAAGAAGAUCCAAGGCCUACAAGUUCCACAUGGAGCUACAUCAUGUGGUAUCAAGAGCAUCUUCAUCUAGGUGAUGUUCUUUUGCUUCCUCUAUCUUUUUGGUCGGUCAAUUCACUUUAACUCCUUGUUCUUCAUCUUAUUCUCCAUGUAUAUCCUCCAUUUUCUUGUGGUUUGGUUCUGUUCAGAGUAGAUUCAAAAAAAUAAAUCGAUUAAAUCUUAUAUCUAUACUUGUUCUUGCAUUUCUAUGGUUCAAAUUUUACAAAUCUACUCUUGAAUCAUGUUUUUGUGUUUAUUAUAGGUUCUAUCAUUUUUUAGUCAUAAUCUUCUUGUGUUGAACCUCUAGAUCUAAAUUUUCUUCCAAAAUAUUAAUUAGAAAUUUGCAUGAAAUUAAAAAAUACGAAAAAUCACACAAGUUGGCAGGAAAAUCAAUAUCCAGGAAAAAAAAAGUGAAAGGGAAGUGUGCUUGUUGUUUUGGCACGAAAUUUGUUCUAUAAUUUGUACCUAUUUUAUACGAAUCAUAGUUCUGAAAUUUCAAUUGAAAAUUAGUGUGAAAAAAAGUGCCAAAACUAGAGGUUUCUUAAGUCUUAUUUUUUUAGUUUUUUUUUACUCUACUCUAGAGUCAUUCUUCUUGUGUUGAACCUCUAGAUCUAAAUUUUCUUCCAAAAUAUUGAUUAGAAAAAAAAUGCAAAAAUCUACGUGUAAAUCACUUAAUCCAUGUUGUCUUAGAGUCAUGUUUAGUCAUAAUAAUUGUCACAUUAUGUUCUAAGUUUGUGUUGAAUUGUGAUUUUGUUGAUUGAAUUCUAGAUACAUUUGUUCAUGUAUUCUUGUCAUUCUUAGCCUAUCUUUUGAAUUUUGAGUCUAAGUCAUGCAUGUUAUUUAGUUCAUAACAUGUUCUAAAUCAAUUCCUAGAAGCAGUCUUGUUGUUGAACUUUGUUUUGUUUUCUAAGUUUCCUAUAUGAUGCCUAUGAAGAAAUUGAGUUGUGGUGUUGAGUUGUGGCUAAAUUUGUGAACCAAAAUAAGUCUUAAGCUCUCUUGAAUUGUGUUAUUCAAGAUAUUUGAGCAUAGUCAAACACAAAUUGUGAUUAUCCAAGCCUUAAGCAACAUAAACACUACUAUUGAUUUCUAGGUUAAAAUCACUUGUGCUCGUAGCUUGAACAUACAAACUUGUAAAAAUUAUUGGGAAUUGGUCACUGCGAAUUUUGAGCUGAAAUUUUUAUUGAAUUUUGUAGACUUCUGGAAAAAAAUUAUAAAAAAGGAACCAAGCGAUUUGGAUAAAAUGAAAAAAUACGAAAAAUCACACAAGUUGGCAAGAAAAUCAGUAUCCAAGAAAAAAGUGAAAAGGAAGUGUGCUUGUUGUUUUGGCUUGAAAUUUGUUCUAUAAUUUGUGCCUAUUUUAUACCAAUCAUAGUUUCGAAAUUUCAAUUGAAAAUUAGUGUGAAAAAAGUGCCAAAACUAGAAGUUUCUUGAGUCUUAUUUUUUUAGUUUUUUUUACUCUACUCUAGAGUCAUUCUUCUUGUGUUGAACCUCUAGAUCUAAAUUUUCUUCCAAAAUAUUGAGUAGAAAAAAAAAACACAAAAAUUUAAGUUUAAAUCACUUAAUCCAUGUUGUCUUAGAGUCAUGUUAAGUUAUAAUAAUUGUCACAUUAUGUUCUAAGUUUGUGUUGAAUUUUGAUUUUGUUGAUUGAAUUCUAGAUACAUUUGUUCAUGUAUUCUUGUCAUUCUUAGCCUAUCUUUUGAAUUUUGAGUCUAAGUCAUGCAUGUUAUUUAGUUCAUAACAUGUUCUAAAUCAAUUCCUAGAAGUAGUCUUAUUGUUGAACUUUGUUUUGUUUUCCAAGUUUCCUAUAUGAUGCCUAUGAAGAAAUUGAGUUGUCGUGCUAAUUUGUGGCUGGAUUUGUGAAUCAAAAUAAGUCUUAAGGUCUCUUGAAUUGUGUUAUUCAAGACAUUUGAGCAUAAUCAAACACAAAUUGUGAUCUUCUUAAUGGAAUUAACAUUCUCUUACUUUGUACUACCUUGCUAGUUAGAUUCUCAGUCUUAACAAAUUUCAUUUAUUUUAAAUAUAUAUAUAUAUACACACACACACACACACACACACACACACACACAUUUGUAUUGCUUGCAUGCUGCCUGAAUAUUGUUUGGAUUGAUGUUGUUUUUAAUUUUGUAGUUUUGGGUUAAUUAACAAAACAAACAACAUAUUUAAAAAAAAUACAAAACAACAUUGAUUCUGAAAGAACCGAUGUUGUAAUGCACCAUACAACAUUGGUUUUGGCUAAAACCGACCGAUGUUGUAUAGUAGCAAAACAACAUCGGUUUUGGAAGAAACCGAUGUUGUAUGGUGCAAAACAACAUCGGUUCUUCCAAGACCGAUAUUUUUGAAGUUUUUGUAUUUUUCUUUGUAUAUUUCUUUCUAUACGACAUUGGUUUUCUUAAAAACCAAUGUUGAGUAGUGUAUGUCAAUUUCAGUUUUAUAAAAAUUGAUGUUAACAUUGAUACUUUUAAUGUUGGUGGUUUCAACAUUUGUUAAAAGUCGAUGUUGAAAGUAAAAAAUAACUGAUGUUAAAAUCCUAUUAUCUAGUAGUGUUACUGCUACCACCACCAUUGUGAUCACCACUAUGGCCACAAUUGUAGCCAUUAACCUAAUGUCCUUGAUUGCCAACUUCUUCGUGGCUCUCAUAAUAUAAUACUUCACACAGUGACACUUCACUCAACAUCCUUUUUGGUCAGAACCUUCCGUAGGUAGUCCUUUCUAAGACCUCGACAAUCAUCUUUGACACUGCUCAAUUGCUCUCAAGAUCAUUGACUGUCCCCACAAAUCAACAUGAGACUUUUUAGCAUGCUUUUUCCUCACUCACAUGCUUGCACGAAAACUUCCCUGAAGAUCACCUAUCUCAUAACUACUCUAAGUCAAGCAAACUUAACUGUGAAGUUCUUAAGUGAUAAGCUACUAAAAAGUAGAUACAUCUUGUUGGUAUAAGUAGUGUCAAUUAAUACUUUUAAGUUCUUGAGUCUUUUGUUUUAGUUUUUUUUACUCUACUCUAGAGUCAUUCUAAGUUUCUCUUUGAGUCCUAGCUUGCUUUUAUGUGCUUUUCAUUGCUUUAAUUGUUGAAUAAUCCUUGAAAAUUUGUCUUGUUAAAACUCUAUUAGUUUAACUUUCAUUUCAUUUUUUUGGUCUUCGGUUAUUGCUUGUCUCUUUGUUUCCUUGUUUGUGAGUUGCCAUAUAGGGAAUUGGAAAGGAGGAUUGGUGUCAUCCCUUGAAGAAUUUGAGUCAAGAAGCAAGGAAAAAACCACCUUAAGAGCUAUUAGACUAAGAAGCACUCCAAAUUGAGAGAAUCACCAAAGAGAGAACAACCAUCAAAAUUGAGGACCUUUUGGUAAUUUUGUAAUUGAUAAUUUACUUACUUUCAUUGCUUUCAAAUUUUGUAACAAAAAGGCCUUUCAUUGGAAGUAAGUUGGGAGCCUCCAAUAGGUCACCCUACUUCCAUUUGUGUGUAAUAAUUUUAGGCAAUUUUCCCUUAGGAUUAUGAGUGUUUUGUUGGGAACCUUAAAUGUGGUCAUCCAAACACUCUUAGGAUUCGCCUAGUUUACAUUUCUUGCUUACUUUCAUAGCUUAUUUCUUUUACCUUCCAUUGUCAAACAGCCUAGAUAGCUUACCUUUUACCAAUUAUUUUUUACCUUAUCUUUCACACCUCUUUUAGUGUUUAUUUUGGCUAGUUUCAACCAUAGUCUCUUUUACCUUUUGUUUUCAAACCCCCAACAAGAAAGAACCAUAACUUAGGAACCAACAUGAGUCUUCAUUCUUCAUCUAGUGUUAAUGGUGAGAGUUCUACUCCUAAGGACCCCUUGUAUAAGAUAUUAGAUGAGUUGAGAUCCCUUAAGUUGUGGAAAGAAAAACAAGAGAGAAGAAAAAAGGUAAAAAAAGAGUGGAAGAAAUAAGUCAAGAUGAAAGAGAGAAAAUAAGAAAGGAAGAAAGAAGAAAAAUAAUGAAAGAAAUGAAAAGAGAAAAACAUGUCUCUUAUAGUAGUCAUAACUCUUGUAAGAGCCUAAGUGAAGAACUUCGUGACUAUUAUGAAGGAAGGCAUAGGUCACAUCUUAGACCUCACUCCCAUAGGAGAGAAAAUGAAAGAAAGCCUCAAGAGGCUAACAUUAACCUCCCAUACUUCCAUGGGAAGGACAAUGUAGAGGCUUACUUAGAUUGGGAAAUAAGGGUAGAGCAAAAACUUAAAAAAAAGUCUACUUUAAAAUCUUAUGGCUCUCAUUCUUAUCCAAAGAAAGACCAAGGUCUAGGCAUCUUAAGGGUAGCACCUUCUAAGCCCAAAGAUGAUAAGAGGAAGACAAUAGAAAAGCAACCCCCUAAGGCUAGUAUGCAAGAAAAGAUUAGCUUUAUAAAGUGCUUUAAAUGUCUUGGAAGGGGACACAUUACUUAUCAAUACCCCACCAAGAAAACCAUGAUUAUGAGGAGCCAAGACAUUUAUAGUAGCCAAGAUGAGGCUACUCUUUACCUUCUUCGAGUGAAAGUGAAGAAGCAAAAGGGGAAAAAUCUAGUGAAGAAAUCUACCCCCAAGAAGAAGGACAACCUUUAAUGGUUAAGGAGGAGUGUAAGAAGGUAAGUGUCUCCUCUAAAAGGUUAGCUAAGAAGGGAAAGACAUUUUGCAAUAAAGACAAAUAUUAAAGAAACUUUCCCUCUUAGACAACCUCCACAUUUUCUCCUUUGUAAAAAGACACUUGUUAGCAUUGGCACAUCUCUUGGGCUUGAGUUUAUUCCUCAAGUAAAGGAGUUGAUGGAUGAGGGUUUGGUUCGCAAGAGCUUAAAUCCUUGUGCUUUGUUGGUGCCCAAAAUAGGUAUUAUUAGGCACCAAAUCCCUAAAAUAGGUGGUAUGAUGAAUGUUUUGAGUGGUGCAACCCUCUUUUGUAAAAUCACUCGUGCACCCAACAUCUUCAUGAUUUGUGUACAUAGGGACUCAUUAGGUAGGUUUGUUCUUUUUUUUAGUUUCAAUACAAACUUAGGUACUCAUAUGGGACACCUUAGGUUUGAAAUACUUUUUGUUAGGAAUAAUCAACAUGAAAAUAUAGAAAAAUGUAUGUUUUAUUGCAUUACUUUUCUUAAUUUUUUAAAUAGUGAUCAAAGGGUUCCCAUGAACCCUAAGAGAAUAAAGGUCAUUCCUGAGUGGCCCACUCCACCAAGUAUAAGAAAAAUUUGGGGUUUCCAUGACUUAACAAACUUUUACAAAAGGUUUGUCCCAUAUUUUUCUAUACUUGUAGCACCACUCAUUGAGUUGGUGAGGAACCAUGUUCCUUCAUGGGAAGAUGCCCAGGAAAUGGAUUUUCAAAUCUUACCUUACUUCAACAUACCAAACACCACUAAUAUAUAUGUUUUUGUUCUUUUUACAGGAGUUGAGGAAAAAAGCCCAGAGUUUCAAGAAUCUCGAGAUUUGAGAUCAAAUCCUUUUCAAGGGGGAGGGAAUGAUGCAAUCCUACCCUGCAAGGGCAUUGGAUAGAAGACUCCAAGUAGAUUGGGCCAGAGAUGCAAGAGAAGACCCUAAGGUUCUCGAGCCCAUGGGCUAAGUAUGAGCCCACUUAUCUUUGUACAUAUUAUAUUAAGGUUUCAUUAUUUUUGGGCCUUGUAUUUAGGGCUCCAUAAUGUAGGUAUGGUAUCCUAGAAAUGUAGGAUUUUUCAGCCCUUGUAUUUUAGGGCACCUAGACUAGUUUUUGUAUUAGGGGUAGUUUUGUAAUUUCACAUGCAUUAAGUGAAUAUUUGAUGUGUGUGUUGGAAAAUAAAUUUAAUUGAAUUGGGAGAAGCCCAAUCCAAUUAAAUUUUAGAGGGGAAGGUGAGCAUUUGCUUACUACACCCCAUUGCCACAUCAUAUAGUCACACUUUGUGCAUGUCCUUCAUGCUUUACAUGCCUCAUGACACCUACGCACACUUAGUGAAGAAUCUUGGACUUGAUCUUGGAUUAGUAGGCUGAACCAUAACUAAAAGUCACUAAUCAUAAUUAGUAAAAUUUUGGCUCCAAAAUUUGGCUCCACAAAUUCAAUUUCAAAUCCAAGUGAAAUUUGAAUAGAAAUUCAAAUUUCCCUCCAAUUUUGUGUGACACUUAGGCUAUAAAUAGAGGUCAUGUGUGUGCAAUUUUUUUCAACUUUGAUCAUUUGAAAAUUAAACUUCAGAUUUCAGAGCUCUUUUAGAGCACAAAAUUUCGUCCUUUUCUCUUCCUCUCCCUCCAUUCAUCUCUUUCUUCCUCCAAGCUCUUAUCCAUGACCUCUUAUGGUGAUGAACUUCUUCUAGACUCAUCUUCUCCUUGAAGUGGCGUCUCCUCUCUCUCUUCCUUCUCCAUUUCACUGCCAUUCAUCUUCCAAGAAGCAAAUGAAUCUAUUGAUGAAGAAGAUCCUAGGCCUACAAACUCCAAUGGAGCUUACAUCACUGUGGGUCUUUCAACUUGGUUAUUUUAGGAGGCUAAUUUGGCUACUUGGCAAGUCAAUUGAAUACUCAAAGCGAUUAAAAUGCUUGUUGUGAAGUUAUAAUCUUGCUUUUAUUAAAAGGAGGUAUUUGACUAUUAGACUAGUCGAAUACCCUUUCAGUACAGUAGAUAAUCACAAAGUUUUCCAAGUGUAUUUAUAAUUCCUAUUUUUCUUAAAACCAUAAUGUGAUCAAAAGUGGGGCUACCCACUGCCAAGUAAAAUUGAAGGCAUCCUUCUCAACCAACCAUUGAUUGUGACAUUGAGAAUUCAGUAGGACUUAUUGAUUGUCAAACAUGAUACAAAACAGAACACAUUAAAAGGAAAUGAUUUGUUGAUUCAAAAACAUUAUAGAAACAUAGCAUUUAAGAGUUUUCUUUUGGUGAGAUUCCUCUCUUGAGAAGAUUAUAUUUUCUGGGGAGUUUAUUAAGAACCACCUUUUGAGAAGCAGAGGAAGUGUAUAUAGAUUGUCAAACAAUAUACUAACUUCUGAAGAGCCUUGUUGUUGAAGCUUUUAAUUUGUAUGCUGGCUUUAUUGUGUAAGACAUAUAUGGAUGCAUCUAUCUUCUAAAGCUCGGGUCUGAUUGAUCUUCACAUACUAAUGCACUGUUAAUUAUAAAACAAAUCAAAGUGUUUACUAAAUCCUUUUCUCAUUCCAGCAAGUUUCAAUGCUAAAAUAGAUUCCACUUCCAAGCACCAUUUUUUCCAUGCACUGGCCACUUCAUUGACUUUUGCCUCCUCGGUUGUACAGAUGAGAAACAUGUCAAAAAGAUCUUUUGAACCUAGCUUCUACCAAUUUAUCAACUAUAAUAGUAGGUACCACACUCCUAUUUCCUAUUUUGAUGGCUACUUCCUCUUUAAACCAUUUUUUCUCGCACUCUCACCAUUCUGACGCCAUAGUUUCCUCUUUAUUUAACUCCCACUUUACAUAUUUUUUGAGACUAUAAUCAUGUUCAAUAAAACCUAUCCCUGGACUACUAAGUUUUAUUUUUAAUUCUCCAUAGGAGCUAAUUUAGUCGAAUAAUUCAAAGUCUCUCACCCUUAAUCCUCCCUCUUUUAAUUUCACUAGCGUACUCUUUCUCUUUUGACCCAAACCACUUCUGAUGAAUCCUCAUAAUUACUCCAACAAAUUUAUAAUAUGAAUUAUAAAAAAUAUUACACCACCAUUCCAACAUAAACGUCGUCCUAGUUUAUUUUACAGAAUAAAAAAAAUAAUAAGUAUAUAAAAGAGAAUAAUAAAUUUAUAAAACUAACUUUAUUAUAUAGAUAAAAAAGAAUAAUAUUAAUAUUAUAUUCAAAAACUAAAAUAACAUUUAUUACGAGCAUGAUGAAAAAAAGUAAUUAAUAUUACAUUAAAAAUUAAAUGGGAUAAGAAUAAUUUGUUUUUACUAAAUGCUGCACUUAUUUUAGGACAAAUGUAGUAUUAUUACAUCCGUCUCUAUAUAUAAGAUUUUUUCAAUUAAUUUACGUGUUUAAAAAAGUAGUUAAUUUAAUUAAGUACAUUAAAUUUAUUAAUAAUUUAUACUAUUUUUCAAAAUUAUCAUUAAUUUCUCUUUUCACUUAAUUAUUUCUCACCUAAUUAAUUAAUGUGAUUUCUUCUAUUCUCACAUUCUAAUAAGAGAGAAAGUUCGUAUAGGAAUGAAAUAGGUAAUUAAUGCACUAAACAAUUAAAAGAAAGUUUUAUAAAAAUGAAUAAAUAAUAAAAUAAAAUGUAUCUUAUAUAUGGAAACAAAGAUAGUAUUUCUAACUAACGAGACUAUUGUUUUGCUUUUCUUUUAGAGGGUAUUUUAGGAUAUUAAUUAAUAAACUAAAAAGAAAAAUAAUUAUUGUGUAAAUCAUAAGAAAAUAAAAAAAAAUUAUAAAUAAUAUAAUUUUUAUGUUUUCCAAUAAAAAUAUUUUAUUUUAAAUUCUUUAACCAAGGUAUUUGCCGCAAUUGUUAGACUUUGCUCUUUUUAAUUGUCGUAUGAGAGGUGGAGGAUGCAUGCACUUUAGCGAUUCUCCAUCCUGGAACUCAAUCCUCACGUGUAAUUUGCAAGCGUUGGCGGUGUGGUCAUUCCCAAGGAAUAUCUGUUCUCGUUAACUUUGCACUUUUUGGCCCUUAAUCAUACUGUACCUCCAAGAUCAAAAUCGUAAUUAAACAUUUAUGCAAAUUUUAUAUAUAUAAAAAAUCUAAUAAGUAUUUUUAAAAUAUUGGUUAAAUAAUUGAAAGAAAAAUAUUUUUAUUGAGAUAAGUAAAAUUAUACUGUUAGAUGACUUUUUUAACUCUUUUAUAAUUUUCAUAAUAAAUAUUUUUUCUUUUAAAUAUCUUAACUCAUUGACUAACAAGAAAAUAAAAAAAAAUAAAAAAUUUACCCACAUCAAAGUGAUGGAAUCAUAAUAUAAGUGUAAAUGUGAUCUCGUGACCUUCCAAAAUUGUAUGUAUUUUUUAAUAUUUAAUUUUUUAUAUUAAAACUCUAGCUUUUAGUGAAUCAGUGCAAAACUUAUUAUGAUCAUGUAGGAACUGUAGACGACCUCAAAAGAAAAAAAAUGAAGUAACUGUAGACUACAUAUAUUAAUUAAAUUUGUUAUCAUGUAUGUGUUAGGUUAGGGAUGACAUAUAGUAACUGUAGACUACAUUGUCCCGAUUCUCAUUAAGGAAUAUUAUUUUACUCUUGUGCCUGUUCUUUGAUUCCAAGCAAAGACCCUGAAAUUAUUCAAAACAAAAAAAAAAAAUCUUACUCUAGUCCUUUAAAUUAUAUAAAUUAGAUAUUUUAAUCCUGAAAAUUUUAGAAAUAUUUAAUUAACUUAUUAAUAUACUUCCUUUAUGGGCUGAUAAAAAACUUAUUAUUAUUAUUUUUUUAAAAAGUCAUUAUUAUAAUCUUUUACGACUGUAUUUUUAUUCGUUUUGAAUAAAAAAGGAAAAAAAUUAAAUGGCAUUUUAUAAAAAUAAAGAGUGAAAAAAAUCAGAGAUUAAAAUAUAACUCAUACAAUUUUAAUGAUUUAGAUAAUAAUAAAAUAAUAAAAGGGCUAAAGAAUAAUCAUAUGACCCAUAUAUAUAUGAGAGAGAGAGAGAGAGAGAGAGAGAGAGAGAGAGAGAGAGAGAGAGAGAGAGAGAGAGAGAGAGAUUGUAGAAGUAGUUUAAGUAAAAUUUAUGUAAAUCCUUUCAAGUAUCCUCUUAUGUAUACAAUUAUUAAAAGUAAUUAUGUAAUUUUUAUGUAUAAAGAUUCUGCCGAAAAAAUACUUUUUUCUUCUCAAUCUCUCCAUCGAUCUAAAUAUGUUUCAUAGAGUUCUAAAAUCCUUGUUUUCAGAGGAGGAAAAAAAAAUGAAUUUGAAGUUUCAAUCAAAAAAAUUUAAAGUAUUUCUAAAUUAAGGGAAAAAAUUGUCAUCUAUGUAUUAGAUAAUUAAUUAAGGGGAUUUAGAAUUAUUUUUUCAUAUUUAAUUUACUUAGUGUUAUUAAAUAACAUUGAGUCUUGUGGAUAUAAAACAUAAUUAGAAGGAGAAACCUUAAAAAAAAUAGUUAAAUAGGUUCUCUAAAAUUAUCAUCAGUAAAAUUAAUAGAUACUCGACAUCAAUAUUAUGAAGAUAAAAAAAUAUAUUGAUAAAAAAAUGUUGACUUCGUCUCAUUUUUAUGUCUAAUUUUUUAAGUGUUAGCUUUCCAAAAAAAGUACUCUUAUUUAUUAAUAUUGUUUUAAAAUUUAAAAUAAUACCAAUUAUAUAUUAUUGAUAAUUAUAUAUAUCUUUAUCUUUAUGAUUUAUUUUAUAAAUUUAUCAUAAAAUUAAAUAGAAAGAAAUAAAAUAAAAAGUAACAAAAUUAAUCAAUAAAAUAAAUAAAAGGCACAACAGAAAACUAGAUAACAAUUUUAAGAAACACAAGAACAUUAGUUAUAAUUUUUAUUUUCUGUGUCACAACCUUAAACAACAUUUAUAAAAUAGAAGUAGUAAUUUUAUAAGGAUAAAAAUUGAAGUGAUUAGGUACUAGUAAAACUAUUUUUAGUUAAAAUGCAAAUUUUAGUUAGAUUAUUCGCAUCAAGUUUUAAUACUAAACUAUUAGUGAUUAAUGAGACAAUUCUGAGUUUAUUUGAUAAACAAUAUCAUAAAUAUGCAAAGAUUAACUACUUAAUUGAAAGACUAUAUAAAUAUCUAUUUAUUGAAAGUUGUACAAAUAAUAGUAAGGGUUAAAAUUUAAUGUGAAGGUGGAAUAUCUUACAUUAAGAAUAAAUAGAUAAGUUGAGUAACACAUAAGUGAGAAAGACUCAUAAACCUCAUGUCUUAUGAUUUUAUGUUAAAGGUGAUGUCAAAUUCACUUAUUAUCUACUUGUAUAUUUGGUCUAUUAGUGAAGAUUUUUCCAGUGUUUUAUUCCCCUAGAUUAGAAUCAAUGGUUUGAUCUGGUGAACUUGUGCAAAUAUAAUGGAAUUAGUGGUGGAUUCACGCAUGAAAAUUUUUUAUAUCGAAAGUCUUCUUAAUGGUGGGUAUAGGAAUCGAAAAGUUCUCACAAUAACAUCGAAAUUGGACUAUAUGUCUCGCUAAUGUGAAUUAAUGGCGAUGCAAGUAUCUAGAAUGUCAUCAUUGAAUACUUGCAGAUUAAAAAAAAGUUUCCGCUUGAGGGAGAACUACCAUAUGUAAAAAAUAUUCAUACUUAAGAAGAAUUGUUAGAAUUCAAAUGUGAAGGUGAAAUCAAACAUUAGGUAAAAAUAAAUAAGUUGAGUAACAUAUAUGUGAGGAAGACUCACAAAUGUGAUUCCUUUAAGUUUGGAGAUGAAGAUAAUGUCAAAUUUACUUGUGUGUGGUGUGCUUGUAAUCCAUUGUUAAAAAUCUCUAUGAUGUUUUAUCUCUUUUAGAUUCCCAAUAGUCUUUAUUCAUAAUUUUAUAGUUUUUAAUAAAAUUUAAUUAAUAUUUGUUGUAAGAAUGGUGGAUCUAAGCUCUGAUACGGUGGUUCGAGGCUCCCAUGCGUUGUGUAAGAGAUUUGGAGUGGUAGAUUUGAGUAGAUCUUAGAAGAGUGUAGGGAGAAGAAGCCAAGUUUGGGUUUGUAUCCAGAAUAUUAAGUUAGCCCUGUAGUUUGUUGUUGAUAGGCUUAUAUAGUCAUUUUCAGCGGGAAAAUCCAUUAGAUGCCCAUGGCCACGUGUAUCCAGUGGUUGUCAACGGGCAAAGUUUAUCCCUUGUCAGUUGCUAAGCGUCGGCGAUGCUCAAAGAUCUCGACGGAGGCAUCUCAAGAUACCUAGGUCUGAGAUACAUCUCUAACAAUAUUAGAGAAUGUAUUAAAAAAAAUAUUAUUAAUAUUUUUGUGUGUGAGUGUGUGCAUUAUCUGCAUUCUUUCGUUUCUCAUAAUAUCAUCCCUAACUAUUUGGAUUUUAACAUUACCGACAUAAUAGCAUGUAGAAAAUGCCCAGCCGACACCUAAAAGGCAUGAAGAAAUAUGAUGUGGUUGAGCAAUGCUUUGUCGUUGAUUGAUUUGUCAAAUGUUUAUUUGUUUCCUUUAGAAAAUAAGUGUGCAAUAAUACAAUAACGAAAGGGACCUCAAUACAAUAUAACUUGUUUCUCAGAAAAAGAAAAUAAUAUCUAUAUACAUCGGAGAGGAAUCAAAUUAUUAGUCAUUGCUUUAAUUAUAAUUCAAAGUUUCUAUAAUAAAACUACUAAACUGGGUCACGUGACUGUAAAACACAUAUAGCUUAUUUUUACUUAAGAGGAAAACACAUAUAUACCUCCUCAAUAAAACUCUGGAUCUCUAAGAUCGUCAUCCUUAAUCACACAGCUCAAUAUUGUGGUCACGAGUUAUAUAGCUAAUCACGUGAGGCACCUUUGCAUACUUGAUAACGAAAAAUUGCUUGAUGGAUUAUUCGUUGGUGAGGAAACUAUUUUAUACCAUGAUGAAUUUCGUUUGAAUAUCUGAAUGGGCUAGAAGCAAAUCAUUGAGGUAUAGAGAUCGUAUGUGUUAUAUUCGAUCGCUUCUAUGUAAAAUUUUAAGUAUAUAUCAAAUUGCCUUGAUUUUGUCUAGUUUUUGUGCUACGUACCCUGCUAUCUAGGAAUAGUGGCCUUGAUUGCUGUAAAUGAGGUUGUGAUGAUGGGGGUUUUAAUCUGAAAUUGCCGCAUGAGAUAAAAAUAUUGGAUUAUUGUUGAGUAGAGAAAUUUAUUGAGGCUAUGCGAGGAAGAAAGGAAAUUGCUUGAAAUUUUGAAUAGAAGAGAGAAGCUAAUAUAGAGAAUGAGGAUUUGAGUCUAAUUCAAUUUCAAAAAUUAAUUAGUUUAUAGGGUGAAAGUUAUCUUUAUUUAUAUAAUCUAUCUUGACCUCUAGCCGAUGUGAAACUUGAGAUUUGUUUUUCAAAUACUCCCCCUCAUGUCCAACACUUUUGGGCUUAGUGUGUGGAUAACAUGAUGGGUGACUCGUUUAAUGGAUUUAAGAUAUGUUUUAAUACCAUUUUAAAAUGUGGGUAUGAGCUUAUCUAAAACCCAAAUACUAGUUCAUGGGCUGAGGGUUACUCCCAUUUAUAUAGUCUAUCUUGACACUAUCUCUAGUCAAUGUGGGACUUGGGUUUUCCAAUAUUAAUUACUCUAAAUCACAAUCAAUAAUCUUCGAAGAAUUUCCUUUAUUCUAAAAUAAACUAUGUUUAAGACCUUUUACAUAUAUUAAGGAAAAUAAGGCUGAAACAUGUGUUUUUGUCCUUAUAAAAUUGGUAAAGUUUCAUUUUUGUCCCUUCGAAAAAUUUCGUUCUUGUUGCGUUUUCAUCAUUCGAAGUAAGGGGGAGUAAGAACUUUUGCUCGUAAGUAUGGCAUUGGCCUACAUGACGAAGCAUAACCAUGCUUCACGUAAGCAGGGACAUUCGAAAGGGAAACAAAAUAGAGUAAGACUUUAGGAAUUAUAGUCUAUCUUGACACUACCUCUAGUCAAUGUGGAACUUGAGUUUUCCAAUAUUAAUUACUAUAAAUCACAAUCAAUAAUCCUCAAAUUUCCUUUAUUCUAAAAUAAACUAUGUUUAAGACCUUUUACAUAUAUUAAGGAAAAUAAGGCUGAAACGUGGUUUUGUACUUAUAAAAUUGGUAAAGUUUCAUUUUUGUCCCUUCAAAAAAUUUUGUUCUUGUUGUGUUUUCGUCAUUCGAAGUAAGGGGGAGUAAAAACUCUUGCUCGUAAGUAUGGCAUUGGCCUACAUGACAAAGCAUAACCAUGCUUCACGUUAGCAGGGACAUUCGAAAGGGAAACAAAAUAGAGUAAGAUUUUAGGAAUUAUAAUCUAUCUUGACACUACCUCUAGUCAAUGUGGGACUUGGGUUUUCCAAUAUUAAUUACUAUAAAUCACAAUCAAUAAUCCUCGAAGAAUUUCCUUUAUUCUAAAAUAAACUAUGUUUAAGACCUUUUACAUAUAUUAAGGAAAAUAAGGCUGAAACAUAUGUUUUUGUCCUUAUAAAAUUGGUAAAGUUUCAUUUUUGUUCCUUCGAAAAAUUUCAAUCUUGUUGUGUUUUGGUCAUUUGAAGUAAGGGGGAGUAAGAACUCUUGCUCAUAAGUAUGGCAUUGGCCUACAUGACGAAGCAUAACCAUGCUUCACGUAAGUAGGGACAUUCAAAAGGGAAACAAAAUAGAGUAAGAUUUUAGGAAUUAUGCACGACCAUGCUUCACAACAAAAUUACCACUUUGGAAUGUAUGCAUAGAAACUUGAUGUGUAAAAUAUAUUUGCACAAGGGCAAGCAUACCCUAUACAAAAGUUAUAGUGGGCCGAAGUCCAAAUAUCAUACCCAAAGGAUCAGUUGUAUUCCCAUAAUAAUUUAAUUUUCAAUAAACUAAACAAUUUGGGCUUUCAUCGAUAGUUGAAAGAUUUGUGUUUAAUUACUUUGUAGAAAAUACUACUCUAGAAUAAUGAGAGAGACAGUGCAAUGAAAUUAUAGAUGAAAAGGCUUGGGGCUAUGAUUAAAUCUCACAAAAUGAAUUUCUCUAAUUCUACAUUAGUAAAUUUCUCAAUGUUUAUCAAUUACUGACUUCUCUUAAGGUUGCUCAAAGGUUUUUGCCAAACACUUUCAACAAUCUUUCUCUUAAUUUAGUUCUAAUUUGGUAAUUAAGAAAUAAAUUACGACAAAGCAUAAACACAUAAAGAAUGACAAUCAGAAAUACCUAAAAUAUGUUUGGUCAAUCAUUAUUCUAAAGGAUUCAGUUGUUCUAUAAUUGCUAUUCAUAUGAAGUCGAUCACAAACACACAAAUAAAUAAAAUAUAGAUUGACCAAGUCUAAUGAGAAAUUAAGCACAAUAUAACAACAUAAUUGACUGAAUAAAAAUAUUUUAAAUUAAGUAAAAUUGGGGUUCAUCUGCAGAUUACAUCAUAACCCUAGAAAAUAAGGGUUUAGCCAGCCAUAGGCACAAACAAGCAAAACAAUAACCUCAUAUGCAUGAGAAAGAUAAGGGAGUAAGAAAAAUUACAAUUAGAAGCCCCAACAAUCUUCUCGUGUUCUUCCCAAUUCAAAAGAGAUCUCACACUAUGCCUAGGUCACUCACAAAGUCAAUUUUUGUACACAACGUAAAAUAUAUCUACUUUCAUUUUCCUCUUUCUAUUUAUAGUACAAAAUUAGAGUGUUUGUCAUGGAAGGAAGCACGAUCAUUCUCGAAAAAUUAAAGCCUGAUUGUGAAAUUUGGAGAAUAAUCAUCCUAGAUGAGAACAAUUGUUCUUGAAAAAUUUGAUGUUGUUUCCCAAUUUUUGAAAAUCAGAGCAUGGGUGGGCUGGAAGGAACAUAGAUGUGCUGGAAUAAGCACGACCAUUUUCCCAAAUAGCAUGAUCGUGCUCUUCGUCAUGGUUUUUGUUUAACUUUUUUUCAGCCUUUUUUUUGUGAGUUUUCCUCUUUUUUCAACUUUUGGUCUGUUUGCGUCACACUUUAAAGAAGUCCAUGAGUUUUGCCAACAAAUUAAGUAUAAAAAAAACAUGCAAAACACAAGGCUAAAAUUCUUAUCAAAUAUCACACAAAUACCAGUUUAUCAACCUCCCCACACUUGAACAUUGAUUGUCCUCAAGCAAUUAUUCUGAUUUAAAUAUUAAAAUUGGUUUCUCUUAAUCCAAGAAAUCAUUCCAUAGAGCCACAAAAUUUGUUUUUUAUUAACACUCAACAUAAAAUAGAAUAGACAGACAACAUAGAGUUCAAGAUUUUUUCCCUAGGAACUUCAAUAGAUUUUCAAUUCUAGUUGGAUGUCAAGUUUCAAAGAGCAACAUAUCACUUUUCUCACCACAAUCAUAAGCACUCAGAUCACACUUAAGAAGUGUGAAACUCCAUCUAUCUGUCAAUCAACUUGAUAACUGCAAAAUUUGAGUUAAUUUGAUAAUCAAUUUUGGCCAUGAAUGAUUGAAAUUUCUUCACUUUACUGUUGUUUUUAAUGAAAUAAUAAAGAAAUUAAUAUCUUCAGAAUUUUUUAUUGGCAUAAUUCAAAAGAAAAAGAUUUCAAGUGCUUUAUAGGAAAAUUGAUACCAAAACUAGAAGAAAGAGCCUUGAAGAAAAGUUGGAAGAAGUAGAUAGCUCGCUUAGUGCAUAAUCCAGGCUUAGUGUGCACUCGUGCUUAGCGGGCAACCUCAAGCUUAGUGCGAAGAAAGCCCAAAACGAAGCUCAAAGGCGCGCUUAGUGUGAAAGCCCGCGCUAAGCACAAAGUCAGCAUGAAAAGUAAGCUACCUGGAGCCUAUAUAAGGAGGAAGAAGCUGAAGGGAAAAACACACCAAGUCUCAAAGGUUUCUAUUGAAGAUAUCCAAACCCUGAGCCUAUCCUUUAUGGGAAACCCUCCAUCUCUAGCCAUUCCUCUCUUUCUUGCUUUUAGUCAUUCAACCCCUUCUUCCAUCCACAUUAGCCCCUAAAGUGUAAAGUCUCUCAUGGCUAUGAGAGGCUAAACCUCCACUGUUGGGAGCCUAGCAAUCAAUGCCCUUGUAAUGCAACUAUUCUCAUUAUCUAUUAAUGUAAUUUUAGUUUCUAUUGUCUCUUUUCUGCUCUUCAUCUUUAUUGUGUGGUCUAGCCAUCCAUGCAUUAGUUUUUAGGGGUUAUACAUUGGGAAAUGGUAAUUUCUAAAGAACUAGAAAAGGGGAUCUAAACAAAUCAUUGUUAGGGAUAAAGUGACUUUGUUUUGCCUCUGCAUACAUCUCCAUGCUUAAUGUAAUUUACUAUUCAAUCUUUACAAAGGGAUUUGGGAGAGAGAAUAGAUAUAUUAGGCUCUUCAUUGUGAGGGAUCAGGGUUGAGUGUCUUAGUAGAUGUGGGUCGAAAUUGGGAAAACAUUUAAUAGAAAAAAACAUUAAUAUUGCAUCAAGGGUAGUUAGGCAUGCUAGGCCCCAACAUAUUUAAAUAUUGAAGUUAUCUCUUGCAUUAAUCUUGUUUAUUUUAUUAUUCUUGUCUUUUUAAUUUCAAAUUGUUUCCUUCUUCUUAUCUCUAUUAUAAUCUCUUGCUUGCAAAUUGGGUAUUCAUCAACGCAAGUACAAACAAAGUUCAUGUGGAUUCGACACUCGGUCUUCCGUUUAAACUUUACUACUUGUGAAAAAUUGGUACACUUGCCAACAAGUUUACACAAGUAAACUCAAACAACAAUCUAGAAAGCAUGAAAGUGAGGCAUCACAAGGUGUAAUAGGGUCAGACUGCAAUGUAAGGCAGGUAAAGAACAAAUAUGAUAACAAAAAGGCUCAUCAAUACCCCAACUUAGACUUAGUGACACAAACUGAGGAUACAAAAGCUUUAUCUAAUUAGCAAUAUCCCAAAAUCAUUUCCUUUUGAUCCCUUACUUCUUCUAUUUAUUUUCCUUAUGUGACUUUUUUUAAGAAGAAGAAGAAGAAAUUAAAAAAAAAAUCACAUUGGCAUAAAAAUAACAUAUGUACCGCAAUAAUACAAGUUGUGGGAUGGUUCAAAUAGUGCACAGUGAAAACCCCUCCCUACACUUAAGAGAUACAGUGUCCCUAAUGCAAAAAGCAUAAAACUAAAGCAUAACUUGAAAAUAGAGAAGGAACAAAGAAAACAAGAUUUAUUAAAAAUACAAAGAUUUUAAAUUUUCUAUGCCUACUAAUGCAAAAUAAAAAGGUAGAAAAAAAAGGAUAUGCCUAGCUCAAAGGCCAGUGCAUUCACAGGUUUCCUCCUAUAUAGCGCUUGUUUUUUGUCCCGAGCCUGAUGGUUGAAAGAGAGAUAAAUCAACCACCCUUGAAUAAGGUAAUGUCCUUUUCUCACAACAAUCCCUUAGCAAGGUCAUCCACUCUAUAGCUAAGUGCUUGAGUGGUGGUUCCAUCUCUAUCCCUCAUGCCACUUCAAAGGUUUUUUGGAAUGAUGUUUUCUUCCAAAGUGUUUUCCUUCCCACACUUGGCUGAUGCCUAGCCACAAUGACUUCCAUGUUUUUAGUGACUAGCACAAAAUUGCAGGAAAGUAAAGAGAAAGAUCUUUUUGCUUAAUCAAACACCUUAAACACUUCCUUCUCAUCACCUAGCCUCGAUGUCAAUUUCCCUUCUUGGACAUCAAUCAAGGCCCCUCCUAUGUUAACGAAAGGUCAUCCCAAAAUAAUUGGGAUUUCUUCAUCCUCCUCUAUAUCAAAAAUUACAAAGUCAGCUAGGAAAAUGAAUUUGUCAACCUUGACCAAUAAGUUUUGCAUUACCCGUUGUGGGUAAGUGAGGGUCCUAUCUACAAGUUGAAGAUAGACUUUAGUAGGUAGAAGUUCUUGCAACCCCAACUUCUUAAACACAAAAUAAGGCAUUAAAUUGAUACUAACACCUAAAUCACACAAUGUUUUAUCAAACAACAAGUUUCCUAUAGUAUAGGGAAUUGAAAAACUUCAUGGGUCCUUAAGCUUAGGAGUCAAUUUCUCUAAAACAACAACAUGACAUUCCUCAUUGAGACCAAUUAAUGCAAAGUCUUCCAAUUUCUUUUUGUUUUAAAUGAUUUCCUUUAAAAACUUGGAAUACUUUGGCAUUUCAGCAAUUGCCUUAGUGAAAGGAAUGUUAACAUGUAAUUUCUUAAACAUUUCAACAAACUUAGAAAGCCACUUAUCCUUCUGCUCAUUUCUCAUUCUCUAAGGAAAAGGAACACUUACCUGAGGAGGUGCCAAUACCCUUUUUUCACCCACUUUUUCUAUCUUGUGACUUUCUUCAGUGAGAGCCUCUUUUUCUAGUGUUGGAGUGGCUUUCUUUGUCUUCUUCGACUCUACCAUAGGCUUUCCGAUGCUGGUGCUCACUACAUUAAACUCCUCAUUCUUAGGAUUAACCUCUAUUUGAGAAGGAAGAGUCUUAGGAGCUCUUUGGGACAAAAGAUCUUUCAUGGUGGAGAGUUGAGUCUCCAUGAACUUCAUGUGCUCAUCAUUCUUGGCUAUAUAUUGGAUCAUAACAUCUUCCAAUGAUGGCCUUCUCUCUUCCUUCCUUGGCCUCUAAUUCUACAUAUGUGGUGGCAUAUACACAUUAUGAUUUUGCUCUGCCUAGGACCUUGGUUGAAUGUAUUAAAGUAAGGAUCAUAUCCUAUACUCUGUACACCAGCAUAGUUUACUUCCUCCAUGGCAUGUGCAAGUGCAUUACUCACUGGGCAUUCUCUUCCUCUAUGAGCCUCCCACACUUACCACAAGAGGGAGGUGAUAGUGUGGAAGCUAGAACCUAUGUCUGCACUCUCAUCAUAGUCUCCAUUUACUUGGUCGGCAUUUGGAGUUUUUGUUCAAUGCCUGAGCUGGAUGCUUCUACCUCCACUUGUUUCACCAAUCUCCUCACAAUCCUCUUAUCCCUAUAAUUUUUGUAGGGAUUAGAAGGCAUAUCUUCAAUGAUCUUGGUAGCUUCAACAUGAGAUUUCCUCCAUAAGCCGCAUCGACGCUUGUCCUAUUAUGAGAUGGCACUCCUCCAUAGAAAAUAUGUACAAAUUUUUGUGGGUUGAAACCAUGAUGUGGGCAACUCCGGAGCAACUCCCGAAACCUCUCAGAUGCUUGAGCCAAACUCUCCUGCUCCUUCGACACAAAAUUCUCAAUAUCUCUCUGUACUUAAUCAAUCUUAACUAUAAAGAAAUAUUUCUGAAGCAACUUAUUAGCGCAUUUCUCCUAAGUCGUGGUAUUGUGCUCGGGUAAAGCACAAAGGAAAUCCCAAGCUUUCCCAUUGAGUGAAACUGGAAAAACAUUCAAUCUCACAUACUUUCUAGGCACGUUUUGCACAUUGAUGGUGCUAGUCAACCUCAGGAAUCCUUUCAGGUGUGCCAUGAGUUUUUCAGAGGUUGCCCUAUGGAACUAAUUGCUUUCUAUCAUCAUCAAGAAACCAUAUCUCAUGUCAAAAUUGACUCUUGCCUCCAAAGUUGGCAACAAUAUGUUGUUAGCUACCCUCACUUGAGGAGCGAGAUAAUCUAACGGGGUCUACUCCACCUGCUCAUUGACAACAACCUCAUUCCCAUUACCUCAUCCAUUUCCAGCCAUGUCUCGUCUCCUCUGUUUAGCUCUAUUCUUGCAAGCAACUUUCUCGAUCUCAAGUUCGUGCAAGAGUUCAGGCCUCAGGGACUUAGUUAGCAUGCACUGAAAAUAAAAGAAAAGGAAUUAAACGCAAUUGAAAAUAGAAAAAAAUAAAAAUAACACAAAAUUAAAAAUUUUAGGAUUUAAAUAAUUGAAAUAAAGAUAAAUUAAAAUAGAAAAUUAAAGAAAAAUAAAAGCUAUAAACACUAUGAAUAGAAAUUUCUUGGUUCACACAAAAUGAAUUAUCCAAGAACUCUGCAAAUAGUCCCUGAUAAUGGCACUAGAAACUUGAUGCAUAAAAUAUGUUCACACUAGGGCAAGGGUAGCCUAUACAGUAGUUAGAAUGGACUUAAGUUCAGAUAUCGUACCCAAAGGACUAGUUGUGUUUCCAUAACUAUUCAAUUUGCAAUAAACUAAGCAUUUUCAAUUUUUUUUAUCAAAAGUUGAAAGACUUAUGUUCAAUUACUUUGUAGAAAACAAUACUCUAGAGUGAUCAAAGACAAUGCAAUGAAAUUAUCAAAUAAGAAGGCGUAGGGCUAUGACUAAAUCUCACAAUUGAAUCCCCUCAAUUCUACGUUAAUUGGCCACACACUUUUAACAAUCUUUCUCUUAAUUUAGUUCUAAUUUGGUCAAUUAAAAAGUAAAUUACGAGAAAACAUAAGUGUAUAGAGAAUGAAAAUAAAAAAUCCCUAAAAUAUGUUUGGUCAAUCAUUAUUCUAAAUGACUUAGUUGUUGUAUAAUUUUAUUAUUCAUACGAAGCUGAUCACAAAUGCACAAUAACUAGAAUAUAGAUUGAUCAAGUCUAAUGAGAAAUUAAGCAUGAUAGAACAAUAUAAUUGACUAAAUAAAAAUAAUUUUAAAUUAACUAAAACUGGGGUUCAUCUAUAGAUUACAUCAUAACCCUAGAAAAGAGGGGUUUAGUCGGCCAUAGGCACAGACAAGCAAAACAAUAACCUCAUAUACACGGGAAAGAUAAGGGAGUACGAAAAAUUACAAUUAGAAGCCCCCAUAAUCUUCCUCACAUUCUUCCCAAUCCAAAAGAGAUCCUACACUAUGCCUAGGUCACUCACAUAGUGAAUUUUCUUACACAACAUAAAAGAUAUCUACUUUCAUUUUCCCAUUUCUAUUUAUAGUACAAAAUUAGAGUGCCUGACAUGGAAGGGAGCACGAUCAUGCUGAAUAGAGGCACAACCAUUCUUGAAAAAUAGCAACUCUGAAAUCCCAAUUGCGGAAUUCGGAGAACAACCAUCUUAAAGGCGUUAUGGGGGUGUUCUAGAUGAACAUGACUGCUCUUGAAAAAUUUGACAUUGUUUCCCAAUUCUUGAAAAAUCAGAGCAUGGGUGUGCUAGAAGUACCAUGGUGUACUGGAAUGAUCACAUUCGUUCUCCCAAAGAGCAUGGCAGUGCUCUUCAUCAAAGUUUUUGCAAGUUUUCCUUGUUUUCAAGUUUUUCCCUAUUUGCAAUACACUUUAAAGAAUUCCAUGAGUUUUGCCAACAAGUUAAGUCAAAAACAUGCAAAAACAAGGCUAAACCUCAUAAAAUAUCUCACAAAUACUGGUUUAUUAGUCAUGCAUAUUUAUGCAAGACCAUGAUUUGAGAUGAGAACAACGCUUUAGAGGAAAUGAAGCAUGGUUGUGCUUCAUGUUGCAUGGUCGUGCAUUCCCUAAAGAGUGUGAAUCAAACUUAGGUGCCUUCAUAAGAAAUGCAAUCCUAGUAGCUAACCGAUAACUUUUGUCUCACCCAAAAAUAAGGUCCUUAGCUCAAGAUAUCAUAAUGUUUAUGAGCAAAUUUUGAGCUAUAAAAAUUACAUAGCUAUUUUAUGUUCCUUCUAAAUUUUAGUAUAGUAAAUUUUCAAACCAAUUUUUGAGGUCAACAUAUAAGUUGUAGUUAACUGUCUUAGCUUUCAAACUAGAUAAGAAUCAAAUUGAUAAAGUUAGUAUAAAUCUAGAAAUCGCCUUUUCAAUCUACAGUAGUCAUAGAUGUGUAACAGGAAAGGAGUGAGAUAACACUCAAAACUUAAGAAUUGUUAUUCUAAUUGGCUGUGAGUGUGACAUGUAUGUGAUAUGCAUGAGAUAAUUGAUUUGACUAUAUGUCAUUGUGAGAUGAAUGACUUAGUCUAUGAGAUUGAAAAAUUAGGCUUGGAUGGUAUCUAUAUAGUGAGUGACCUAAUUAAUCUAUGAGGGGCAAGGAUGCGCUCACUUCUGUGUGAUGGGACGUCUAAAGGGAUUAGUGUUGCAUCGGGAUGUGACAUGCAUCAUUUUCAUAGAGUCUCAAGUUGAUGUGAAAUAGAUAUGAGAUAGAUGGUGGAGGUUAUGACAACUUGAAUCUUAAGGGUUUUAGAGACCUAAUGUGGAAACCCCAUUAGCCCAUGUUAAGCCCAAAGGACUAAGGUCAAAAGUUGGGUAACCCUGCUAGUCAUUGAGUGGAUAUCAUUCUAGUGUAGUGCAAUAUAUAUUGAAGGCACUGACAUCAAUGAAGCAUCUUAUGGGUAGACAUAAAUGUACUAGAUUCAAGAGUUAGAGUUGGCACCACAUGACAUAUGGAAGUUCGGAUUACAUUGCACAUGGCAUGUAUACAAUUUUUAGUGAUUGCUGAUAAGCCUUUAUGUGAUUUUCAAUUGUUAAGGGAGUGUAUUUAUAUAUGUGUAAGAGUAUGCAUGCACUUGUGCUUUACCUAUUGUUAAUGUUAUACUAUAAGCAUGAUGUGAAAACAUAUUCUCACCCCUUGCUUUUGUUGUUCUUUGCUUGUAUGUGUUUAGGUUGAAUGUCAUUUGCAUGUAAUGUACUUCUGAAUAUUGAGUAGGAUGAUGGAGGAGCAACUUAUUUAUUUAUUUAUUUACAGUUGUUAUGUUUUCCUUUCAUAGGAUAGUAAGGUCUAACUAUUGUGACAUCAAGGAAUGGGAACUUCUAUAUUUUUAACUAAUUUUUUUAUAUUGCUUUCAUUUGAGAUGUAUGGCUUUUAAAGUGUCAAAUUUUAUAUAUUAAUUAAUGUUUUUGUUUAUGAAGCAUAUUAAAUUUGGAGUUAAAUUUGAGACAAUGAGAUAUGGACAUUGCUUCCAUAGACCACCUUAAUAGGUGGUCUAUUAUGGAUCAUUAAUGGUGGCCUUUAGAUUGAUCUAAUAUUCAUAGUGUUACGGUGUACCUCUGCAUAAUAGUACUACCUAUUUCUUUAUCCUCAACAACUACUACUUCCCUCUCAAGAGAAGUGCGAAAUGGGAUAUGAGAUUUGAGGGGUUUUAAUUUGUUUAAAUAUAUAAGAAGUGCAAAAUGAGAUUUGAGAUCUCUCAAACUCUUUUUAGAUUUGAGAUAUGAAACCCAUUUUUAUGUGAAGGUGCACUCAUAGGGGUGUGACACGCUGAAGGUGUGUUGCACGAAGGUCACAGUGAAGACAUUAAACUCGUUUCCAGAUUUAAAGAACGCGGAUGUACUCAAUCAGACAAGGUACCUCUCUUUUAAUUAAUUUGGUUAGGGUUUUCUUUAAUUAUCUUUCAAUACUCUGUUCAGCAAUGAGGUACCUCUCUUUCUCUUACUCUCUUGGCUCAUUCUCAAUUUCCACUCUAUACUUUUUUACAUUUUGUUCUGUAGAUUUAUUUGGUUUAGCUAUUGAAUUUUCUUCUUAUUUUUUUUCUAAACAAUUAGACAGGAUGAAUCUUGAGAACCAAUUACAUAUUCUACAAGAGAGAACUAAUAAAGAGGGUGUUAAUUCUAUAGUACAAAAAUUGGUUUUAUUAAUGAUGCCCUUGUAGGUGAAUUGUUUGUUUCAAUUUAUGUAAAAUUCUAUUUUACAUACUUGCAGUGUAGUGUAAUAUUUUUCAAUACUAAAAAUUUGGUUUGUUGUGGGUAUGCUUACUUGUGUGGUACUUUGGUCUUCUAUUUUUCAUUAUUCACCAAUUUUCAGUUAUCCAACUACCUUGGAUUCAGUGUUGUCUUGAAAUUAUCACUAUUAUACUCACAUUGCUACUUUCAUAGUUUAAUUUCAAAUUUGUGAUGGCAUGCUUAUGAUAAUAUAGAAUAUGAAUUUCAGGAGAAUAUUCUGUUGUGAUAAAGGAGAGUUGGAAACCUUCAGGAAUGAAGGGUGUGUUUAUAAUAAAAAAGAAUUCUAUUUUUUAUUUAUUUUUUAAAAUAUGGAAAAAGGAUAUUAAACAUGUUCUAGUUAUUGGUUAUUGCAACUAUUAUGCUCACAACACAGUAUUAUUUUUUUAGUAAAGAACCAAUAUAAUAACAAUGGUGUACAUACUUAACAACUUUUUUUCUUGUUCAUUUGUCCUUGGAAGUUCUUUUAUUGAUAAUUAGAUCUUUAUAGUGUGUUUGGAAAUCUCAUUGGCAUGUGAAAGUUGUAACUAUCAACUUCUAAACCCCAUCUGGGAUAUGGAACCAAAUCUCAUUUCGAUAACUAAAUUGCUUUUAACGCUCUCAUGUAUUCUGCAAUUAGUCACAAAAUGCACCAUCAAAACCAUGAACACAUUGAGAAAGAUGAGUGAUGGGUUCCAGUAUUGUGACUAAUUGCUUUUGAAUCGUAACUUAAGUUUGUAUGGCUACAUGAUUUGGUAUUUCUGAAAAAGAAGCAUAACUUAAUUUUUUGUGCUUCUAAUUAAAAUGUAUUCUUACUUAGGGACUUUUCACUACUACAAUCUACAACACAAACCCAUUUUCUUGUUUCUUUCUUGCAUUAGUGUCUAUCUACUAUAUAGAUGCCUUCAUUCUUGUUACAUAUUUGCAUUUGUAGCACUAGUAGAUAUAAAGUAGACGGAUACUUGUAUAAUUUUGUUGAUGAGCCUAAGAUACUGAUAACUGAAAAAUGGAACGAGGCUAUGAAUUAUCAACUUUAUGACUAAGAGGAGAACCACGUACUUCUAGGUAAUGAGCUGAAAGAGAUUUGUUAUUCAACUUUUGUCACUAUUACACCAGUUUUUGUUGAUUAUAAAUAUGCUAUGCUAUGACUUAAUAGCAAGCCACUUUAUUUUAUAUAUUGUCAUUUUAACUCUUCCCAAAAUUCCAGUAAAGACUAGUGACAUAUCCAAAAUUGUUUGUGUAAGCAUAUAUAUCAUACUUAAAAAUAUACUUUUAAUAGUUUUGUACACUUAUUAGUUUUUAUGCAUUGAAUAAAUAUUUUUUUAGAAGGUGUCGAGGUCUGUUUUGAAUUUAUAGGUUGGGUUCAUUGUGAAACAAAAUAAAUAUUAAAAAAUGCACUUAACUUCAUCCGUUGUGCCUGCAACCGAUGUAGAAAGUACCUUUACAACAUCAAUUUUGAGCAAAACCAAUGAUGUAAGAAGGUUCUUUAACAUCGAUUUUUGAACCGUCGUCAAAAGUUGUCCACUUUCAAUAAUGGUCAAUUCAACAUUGGUUCUAAACCAAUGUUAAAAUCCUCCAAAAUCGAUGUUGAAAGCUUUUUUUUAGUAGCGGAGGAAACAAAAAAAAGGAACUGUGAGAAAGGAUGGGAAAGAGAAAAUGUUUCAAUGUGGGAGAAUGUAUGAUAAUACUAUACAAAUUGAUGUAUAUAUAUAACGACUAUAAAGAGUGAUGCAUAAUGAACCACUUGACUAAGUGGUCUAUGCUAGAAUUUGCCAUGAGAUAUAUGUGAUUUCUUUUACCGCGAAGAGAAGUUCUCAAAGAAAAUUAACCUUAUUUAUUUUUCGCAACAUUUUUAUUUAUUAAUUAGCUAUGGGGUAAAAGGUGUCAUCAUUAAAAUCUUAAAAUGAUAUAAGAUGGCACUUGAAAAGAAAUAAAAAUAUUGUUAGGAGUUAAACACAACUCAAUCCAAAAGACUAGCAUAUUAGGUGGAAGAGCCUUAUAGUUUAAGGGUACCACAUCAAGUAUUUAUUAUUCUCAAUGUGGGACUACUAACACUCUCACACCCUUUAAGAGUCGAUAUUCACAACAGGUUUUACUCUAUUAACACUGACCGAUGGUAACCCUUUAUGCUUUGAUGACUUCACUCAAGUAUUAGUAUCAAUUUGGUACCUUAAUCUAAAUUAUAGAUAAUCCUUUUUGUAGUUUAAUUUUUAAUGAAAACAACAAUUAUUAAGACUUAAGUAAAUGAACAAAACCCAAUUCUGAUCCAUUGACUAGUUCAUUAUGUGACAAAGUCUCAUACAUGAUUUAUGUACCACAUCAAAUAAUUUAUUUUUCUCAACAGAAGACUCCAAACAUUAUCACCCAUGUUAAGACCCCUUUGAUCCCUCAAAUACUCCCAAUAGUACAAUACGAGAUAUAAUGGGUCCAUAAUGCGGGAGAUUACUAACUCCCAGGACUCUAAACAUACCCAUGUUUACCUUAAUCAGGUACACAUAAUUAAUUUUCAUACUUAAUUAUCACUUUUAAAAAUUCUAAAUUGAGUGUCAUUCUCUACCGAUACACUACAACCCUCUUUGUUGCACCACCAGACAGUAUAUAUUUGGAUUCACACAUGGGACCUCCAUUAUGAUCAAGAAUUAGCUAGCACCAUUAUUUAUCCCCAUGACACAUUCGAUACGCUCCAACGGUUGAUAAUCCUCUCGUCCGUAUAGAUUAUAAGUAAUAAAAAAAAUCUUGAUAAAAAAUCAGUAACAAAAAACCACCAAUUCUGCUUUCGUUAUAGAAGAAGAAGUCUACUUAAUUAAUUAAGGGAAGGACUUGUUUUUGGAUCAAAGAAAAUAGCCAGAAUGGAAAGCUGUCAUAUGUGGAACGGAACCAGAAUCUUGUGAAGGUAUAAUAUGUAUGUUAAAAUUCAAUUAAAUAGAGACUGCAUGGACUAUUACGUGGAGGCUGCAUGAUAUAUAUUAAUGUGGCCUCUCUUGUCCUGGUUCUCUCUAUUAUAUUACGUCCAUGGUAUUGGUUUUUUUAUUCAAUUCUCUUUAGCUAAGGGUGUAUUACAUGCCGGAAGGGGGUCUUAUAUAUAUUUUAGUUAUUCCACUGGUGCACCUCUUGCCGAUAUUAAGUUAAUUAUUCUUGGAUUCUUUUGCUACUCGGUUUUCAAUAAUUUUUUUUGUUAUAUAAAAAAGUUCUCGUAUAUAUAGAGAGAACCUUAUCUAACCUAGCUCAAUUUUUGCUACGAUGUCAAACUUAAAUUCAAUGUAAAAUUAAUUAAUAUCACGAAACACCAAGAUCACCGAAACUAUUAAGCCUCCGGAAUAUCUGCAUACCUGUGCAUGUGAAAGUUAUAUGGAGUCCAAAAUAGGAGAAGCAAACUAACUACACGAAUAUGCUCCCUUGUCAAAACGACAAAUGAAUAACAACAAAAUUAACCAAUCAAUCUGCUUUAUAUAGCGAAAGACCACACAAACCUAACAGCCUCGAAAUUUUUUCCUCUUUGGAUGCAAUUGGAAUGAUUAAUCUUAUCACAGAUAUUUGAUAUAUAUAGGUUGAGUACCCCAUUACUCUCUCUUAAUAAAUUCCUUUUCCUUAUAUAAAUAAAAAAAGAAGUAUAGUUAACGCCAAACAUAUAUUGUGGAUUAAUGAUGCGCGCACGAUAGUUAUGUAUCAUGAUGCUUAUGAAGUUGGUGGGUUAACAAUUGUUCCUACAUAUGACACCAAAUGUUCAGUACCAACCCAAAAGAUGGAAUUUUUUAUGUAACUCAAGUUGAUCUCACCUUGAACCUCUCAAACCUUCCACUCUGAACAGGGUGUGGAUAUUAGAUAUGAUCAUAUGAAAUGCAUGAAUGUUUACCUCUCUUCUUCCUUUCUAUCCUUUUAUAUAUACUCAAUGUUUCACUCCGUUAUUUAGUUGUGUAAUCCAUAUGUGUGCAUGCUAGGUAUACCUUCUGUAUCUCGAGAUUUGCAGGUUCUGUUACGAUUUUUCUCAAUCCUUCUUUGGGUAUUUUGCACCUUCUUAUUCUUAUUUAGACAUGUAAUUUAAUUAGACACGUAAUUCUCAAUCCUUCUUAUUCUUAUUUUAAAAAAAAGUUAAUUGAGAUGUGUUUAAAAUUUGUAAUAAUACUUAAAAAACGCUUUAAUAUUAGAGAUGUAACUCAUGUAAGUAUGUUUUAAAAGUUUAAUUCCUUAAAAUAAAAGUUUACUAAAUUAUGAUCAAACCAUCGAUCUAAAAUAAAAAAUUCAAUUGUUUAAAUUUUAUGAUGUAUGUAUAACAUUUUAGUUUAAUUUUCACAUAUUGUAAUGUUAAUGUAAAAAUUUAUAUUAUCAAUUAAUAAAAACCAUGUUAAAUAUCACUUUUAAAUUAAUUAUUAAAAAGUGAAUAGUCUUAUAAUACAUAAUAAUGACACAUUUUUUUGUAUAGUAAUUAUCUUUUUGGUACGGGUGAUACGGCACAUUUAGUUUAGUUUCUAAUUAAAUUCAUACUAUUUGUUUUCUCUGAGAAAGUAUUUGACACGACACAGCCGUUUGCAUUUCUCUUUAGUUGAACUUAAAUACCACAGUCAAUGUUGAAAGUUCUCGACAUGAUAGUUUGAUGUUACGUAUUAACCCUGGCCGACACUAUGGUUAGGCAAAAGGAGGGGAAAUUAAUUAAUAUAUUAAAUUGGACUACAUACUACUUUUUAAAAAAGAAAAAAAAAAUUGCCCUCCCCACAUGGAGAAACUCUUCAUUUUCACAAACUAAAUAGAUAAUUAUCUAACAACUCCUAGUGUCAGAAAGUUUAUGACUAUGCAAGUAUAAAGAAGGUUCAUUCAGCGUUAUGCUUGUAUAUGUAAAGAGGUUAUUUUUCCAUUUAAACUAUGAUCAACCAAACCAAAUUGCAACUUUACAAUUAUCUUUGUGGCAGGGCUCACUCUCAUCACGAACUAAAUAGAUAAAAUAUAUUAAAAAAGUCAUACAUACUUUUUUAUGAAAUAAAUAAAAUAUUAUCUACCUCUUUUACGUCAAAGUAUUAUUUACAUUAUAUAUAUAUAUAUAUAUAUAUUUCCUUUUUACCGAUUAACAUCCAAAUCUUUCUUCCUUUGAGGUUUAAAUCUAACAUUUCAUGCAAACUAUCCAAAAUUUUCACUAUUAGACUGAUUUUAGUGCCAUGUCAGAAUUAAUUUCUAGUCAAAUUAAAUUAAUGAGGGAAUGGGUUUAAAUUUUAAACACCAAAUGGUAACGAAGGAUAUAUAUACACUAGAAAGCCACUAAUUCUAAAGCAUCUUUACAUCACCUUUACGAAUUAGGAUUACCUUCAUCACGGGCUGAAUAUAACCCGAUUUCCACUUGUCACUACAUGUCAAAAAUGUCCUCUUACACAGCAUUGCUUUUUUCUUAUUCCCCUUGUCCAUGAAAAAUUGAAAUCGUAGUUUUGGCCCUCUUUUUUCACAAUUUUUUUUGUCACUGUGAUCGACUUUGUCCGUGAAUCCAAGCUGAACGAGAGAAGCUCAUUCACUCUGCCACACCGUGGGCCCCACCUAUAUAUCCUGAACGAUUUUUCGGUCCUUGAAGUCAAUGAUUCAUCGCAAAAAAUGAAUAAUUUAAUUCCAAUUGUUAGGAGUUAGAUUUAGAUUUAGAUUGAUUGAUUGAUUGCCACAACUCUUGUCCGUGAUCAUUAAGACUCACGAGAAAGAAAGAGAAAAAAACUAGGGUUGGAUCAUGAUAUAAAGGCCCCUCAUUGUAUCUUCACUACUCAAACAUAUAUUCCCCCUUUCCCUAGUUUAGCUACUUACCUCAAUCUUUCUCAUGGGAAAGUUUGCCCUAGCCAAUAUCCUCUUGGUCCUUCUCUUGAACUUGAGCACUUUGCUCAAUGUUCUUGCUUGUCCCUAUUGCCCUUACCCUUCUCCCAAGCCUCCAAAAAAGCCUCCCGUUGUGAAACCACCGGUUCACAAACCACCAAAACCAUGUCCACCACCCAAGUCAUCUCCAAAACCACCCCAUGUACACCCUCCCUAUGUUCCAAAACCUCCUCACUACCCUAAACCACCAGUUCAUCCACAUCCACCCCAUGUCCCAAAACCUCAUCCAAAGCCUCCAGUGCAUCCCCAUCCACCUUAUGUCCCAAAACCACCAGUUGUGCCAGUUACACCACCAUAUGUUCCAAAACCACCAAUUGUGAACCCUCCCUAUGUCCCAAAACCGCCUGUUGUGCCAGUUACACCACCUUAUAUCCCUAAACCACCAGUUGUGACACCACCAUAUGUCCCUAAACCACCAGUGGUGCCAGUUACACCACCAUAUGUCCCUAAACCACCAGUGGUGCCAGUUACACCACCUUAUGUGCCAAAACCACCCAUUGUGAAACCACCAAUUGUUUAUCCACCAGUUGUGCCAAAACCACCAAUUGUUACACCACCUUAUGUGCCAAAACCACCCAUUGUGAAACCACCAAUUGUUUAUCCACCAGUUGUGCCAAAACCACCAAUUGUUACACCACCUUAUGUGCCAAAACCACCCAUUGUGAAACCACCAAUUGUUUAUCCACCAGUUGUGCCAACACCACCUAUUGUGUAUCCACCUGUUGUACCAACUCCACCGGUGGUUACUCCACCCGUGGUUACACCACCAAGUCCUCCAAGUGAAACACCAUGUCCACCACCACCACCACCAGUGGUGCCAUACCCACCACCAGCACAACCAACAUGCCCCAUCGACACCCUAAAACUGGGGGCAUGUGUGGAUGUGCUUGGUGGCCUCAUACACAUUGGCAUAGGCAGCAGUGCCCAGCAGACCU
This 30440-nucleotide long non-coding RNA is filed under the name Glycine max (soybean). Its description in RNAcentral is "long non-coding RNA (GMAX_LNC002768)". Lineage: Eukaryota; Viridiplantae; Streptophyta; Magnoliopsida; Fabales; Fabaceae. The record is from RNAcentral.